Molecule: ribosomal RNA, 497 nt
Filed under: uncultured bacterium
Lineage: Bacteria
Description: partial 16S ribosomal RNA
Rfam family: Bacterial small subunit ribosomal RNA
Source: RNAcentral
GAUGAACGCUGGCGGCGUGCCUAAUACAUGCAAGUCGAGCGAACAGACGAGGAGCUUGCUCCUUUGACGUUAGCGGCGGACGGGUGAGUAACACGUAGGUAACCUACCUAUAAGACUGGGAUAACUUCGGGAAACCGGAGCUAAUACCGGAUAAUAUUUCGAACCGCAUGGUUCGGUAGUGAAAGAUGGCUUUGCUAUCACUUAUAGAUGGACCUGCGCCGUAUUAGCUAGUUGGUAAGGUAACGGCUUACCAAGGCAACGAUACGUAGCCGACCUGAGAGGGUGAUCGGCCACACUGGAACUGAGACACGGUCCAGACUCCUACGGGAGGCAGCAGUAGGGAAUCUUCCGCAAUGGGCGAAAGCCUGACGGAGCAACGCCGCGUGAGUGAUGAAGGUCUUCGGAUCGUAAAACUCUGUUAUUAGGGAAGAACAAACGUGUAAGUAACUGUGCACGUCUUGACGGUACCUAAUCAGAAAGCCACGGCUAACUACGUG